This 496-nucleotide ribosomal RNA is filed under the name uncultured bacterium. RNAcentral's name for it is "partial 16S ribosomal RNA". It matches the Rfam family "Bacterial small subunit ribosomal RNA", at positions 28 to 523 of the family's 1533-position model. The record is from RNAcentral.
GAUGAACGCUAGCGGCAGGCCUAACACAUGCAAGUCGAGGGGUGGAGGUUGCUUGCAACCUUGAGACCGGCGCACGGGUGCGUAACGCGUAUGCAAUCUGCCUUGUACUGAGGGAUAGCCCAGAGAAAUUUGGAUUAAUACCUCAUAGUAUCUUUUCCCGGCAUCGGGAGAUUAUUAAAGUUCCAACGGUACAAGAUGAGCAUGCGUCCCAUUAGCUAGUUGGUAUGGUAACGGCAUACCAAGGCAAUGAUGGGUAGGGGUCCUGAGAGGGAGAUCCCCCACACUGGUACUGAGACACGGACCAGACUCCUACGGGAGGCAGCAGUGAGGAAUAUUGGUCAAUGGGCGCAAGCCUGAACCAGCCAUGCCGCGUGCAGGAUGAAGCAUCUAUGGUGUGUAAACUGCUUUUAUACGGGAAGAAACACCGGUCCGUGAACCGGCUUGACGGUACCGUAAGAAUAAGGAUCGGCUAACUCCGUGCCAGCAGCCGCAGUAA